UGGGGAAUUUUGGACAAUGGGGGCAACCCUGAUCCAGCAAUGCCGCGUGAGUGAAGAAGGCCUUCGGGUUGUAAAGCUCUUUUGUCAGGGAAGAAACGGUAGUAGCGAAUAACUACUACUAAUGACGGUACCUGAAGAAUAAGCACCGGCUAACUACGUGCCAGCAGCCGCGGUAAUACGUAGGGUGCAAGCGUUAAUCGGAAUUACUGGGCGUAAAGCGUGCGCAGGCGGUUGUGUAAGUCAGAUGUGAAAUCCCCGGGCUCAACCUGGGAAUUGCAUUCGAUACUGCAUAGCUAGAGUAUGGUAGAGGGUAGCGGAAUUCCGGGUGUAGCGGUGAAAUGCGUAGAGAUCUGGAGGAACACCGAUGGCGAAGGCAGCCCCCUGGGCUAACACUGACGCUCAUGCACGAAAGCGUGGGGAGCAAACAGGAUUAGAUACCCCGGUAGUCCCUGAGCGGGCUGGCAAGGCGCAU
RNAcentral lists this ribosomal RNA (472 nucleotides) under uncultured bacterium. RNAcentral describes it as "bacterial SSU rRNA". It matches the Rfam family "Bacterial small subunit ribosomal RNA", at positions 355 to 825 of the family's 1533-position model. The record is from RNAcentral.